UCUUGGUGGACAGAUAGAACUGC
This 23-nucleotide non-coding RNA is filed under the name Cricetulus griseus (Chinese hamster). Lineage: Eukaryota; Metazoa; Chordata; Mammalia; Rodentia; Cricetidae. The record is from RNAcentral.